This is a long non-coding RNA of Astatotilapia calliptera (eastern happy), 1128 nucleotides long. The record is from Ensembl. Lineage: Eukaryota; Metazoa; Chordata; Actinopteri; Cichliformes; Cichlidae.
ACAGCUUUCAGUACUUUAGUAAGUAUAAAUCACAGAUUUGAGAAUAAUCAUAAAGUUGAAUCAAUGACUGUUUGAUUUAAAAAAUAACUGAAUACUAUACUCUUCAUAAAUGCAGCACUGUUAUAUCAGACUGCAUUGAUUUUUAGCAGGUGAAAAACUUGAUACCACUCUCAUAUCUGUAGGAAUGUAGAGCCAACAGCAGGUUAGCUUAGCACAAAUAAACAGGAGGAAAGAGCUCAUGUGAACAGUUUCUCUGAAGGUAAAAACCACCUACCAGCACCUCUAAAAGCUCAACAAUUACCAUUUUGUGUUGGUGAAAUCUGUACAAACCCUACAAAUAACAGGUUGUGGCAUUACUGGGGGAGGGGGAUUCGUAUAUGAGAGUGGUAUCGCUCUAACUCUAACAGCGUAUUUCCCAAAGUGUCAAACUGCUCGUUUUAUGUUCAUCACUUACUGCUUAGUUUCUUUUUUUGAUUCCACGGGUUUUAGAUGUUACGUUUUAACUUCCUCUCAACACAUGCAGUACUGUUCUUUGUAUGGGUCCAGAAACAUUUUAUAACAUUGGAACAGGCUUUUUCACAUUGGUUUCAAGUGAAAGGGAUUUGAUAUAACAUUCCCACCAAAUCGUAGGUCCUGAUGAUUCAUCUUGGAUUAAUCCUGACCCCUUUUCUAACGAAUUCCAUUUAAGUCCUACUUUGAUUUCUUAGUACAAACAAUGCUAAUUUUAGGAUUUGUUGUUCAGUGUGGGUAUUUCUGAAAUUCCAAAGAAACAAAAAUAAUUCCAAGUGUUUACCAGAUAAAUAUUGCCUUUAAGUUUUUGCCCUCUUUUCACUCUUCUGAUUAAAAUACAGGAUCUGGUUAAUGGAUUUGGGGAUAUUUUACCUGCUCUAUAUGCCUGAGUCAACAACAUCAUCAAAACCUGAAUAGACUUUAGUUGAUCUUUGAGUCCGUGCACUCUGGCCCUCUGUUUACACACCAUCUCCUCACCUUUUUUUUAAAUGUUUUUUUUGCCUGAUAAUUGUAAUUAUAAAAACUCGUCCAUUUCUAUGCUACAUUGGUAGCACUACAGAUUUUAUAACAGUGUACAUGUGUACAUAUUGCAUAAAUACGAAGAAUAAAGUUGGAAAC